Molecule: ribosomal RNA, 804 nt
Filed under: uncultured bacterium
Lineage: Bacteria
Description: bacterial SSU rRNA
Rfam family: Bacterial small subunit ribosomal RNA
Source: RNAcentral
AACGUAGGCGGCAGGCCAACAUUGCAAUCCGAGCGUCAUUCGUGGGAGCGGCGGACGGUUAGUAACGCUGGGAACUGCCCAGUCAAGGAUAGCCCUGGAAACGUGAGUAAUACCUAUACGCCUUCGGGGGAAAGAUUAUCGGAUUGGUCGGCCCGCGUUAGAUAGUAGUUGGUGGGGUAAUGGCCUACCAAGUCUACGAUCUAUAGCUGGUUUUAGAGGAUGAUCAGCAACGCUGGGACUGAGACACGGCCCAGACUCCUACGGGAGGCAGCAGUGGGGAAUCUUGGACAAUGGGGGCAACCCUGUCCAGCCAUGCCGCGUGAGUGAUGAAGGCCUUAGGGUCGUAAAGCUCUUUCGCCAGGGAUGAUAAUGACAGUACCUGGUAAAGAAACCCCGGCUAACUCCGUGCCAGCAGCCGCGGUAAUACGGAGGGGGUUAGCGUUGUUCGGAAUUACUGGGCGUAAAGCGCGCGUAGGCGGAUUGGAAAGUUGGGGGUGAAAUCCCGGGGCUCAACCCCGGAACUGCCUCCAAAACUAUCAGUCUAGAGUUCGAGAGAGGUGAGUGGAAUUCCGAGUGUAGAGGUGAAAUUCGUAGAUAUUCGGAGGAACACCAGUGGCGAAGGCGGCUCACUGGCUCGAUACUGACGCUGAGGUGCGAAAGUGUGGGGAGCAAACAGGAUUAGAUACCCUGGUAGUCCACACCGUAAACGAUGAAUGCCAGUCGUCGGCAAGCAUGCUUGUCGGUGACACACCUAACGGAUUAAGCAUUCCGCCUGGGGAGUACGUCGCAAGAUUAAAACUCAAU